Molecule: ribosomal RNA, 594 nt
Filed under: uncultured marine bacterium
Lineage: Bacteria
Description: bacterial SSU rRNA
Rfam family: Bacterial small subunit ribosomal RNA
Source: RNAcentral
AUGCAAGUCGAGCGAAGCUUUUCAGUAGUUUACUACAGAAAAUGACUGAGCGGCGAACGGGUGAGUAACGCGUGAGCAAUCUACCUUAGUUACAGGGAUAGCCCGAGGAAACUCGGAUUAAUACCUGAUAUUCUUUAAAUUUCGCAUGAAAUUAAAAGGAAAGGUCAGCCGAACUAAGAUGAGUUCGCGUUCUAUCAGCUAGUUGGUGAGGUAAAAGCUCACCAAGGCAACGACGGAUAGCUGGUCUGAGAGGACGAUCAGCCACACUGGGACUGAGACACGGCCCAGACUCCUACGGGAGGCUGCAGCAGGGAAUAUUGCGCAAUGAGCGAAAGCUUGACGCAGCGACACCGCGUGUGGGAUGACGGAUCUAGGUUUGUAAACCACUUUCAGGAGGGAAGAAAAUGACGGUACCUCCACAAGAAGCCCCGGCCAACUACGUGCCAGCAGCCGCGGUAAUACGUAGGGGGCGAGCGUUGUCCGGAUUUAUUGGGCGUAAAGAGCUCGUAGGCGGUUCAACAAGUCGGUCGUAAAAGUUCAGGGCUCAACCCUGAAAUGUCGAUCGAUACUGUUGUGACUAGGAUACGGUAGAGG